AUAAUUAGUUCUUGAUUUUACAGAUCUAACAUCUGUUCUUUAGUUUUUCUCUUUGAAGACAAAAGACGGAUACAAAAAUGGUUAAAAUUGGAUUAACAAUCGUUGUAAUGGUCGGAUUAGCUACAAUAUUACCAUCCGAAGCUUGGUUUUUUCGAAAUCUCUUUAAUGGAGGUGACAGACAUUGUUAUUGUAAAGUUGUUGAUAACGACAACCACGACAAAAUUCUUCAUAAUUUUGGUACAGUCGAUAAAUGUCAUGGUUGGCCAAUUUGUGCUUGCUACAGAGCCGAGAUAACAAAUUGCAAAUCAACUUGCGAGGACAAACUUGAGCUCUGGGCAAAGGACCACUGUCCUCAGCAUUUGAAGGGGAAACAUCUUAUAGGAAAAUACAAAGGAAGCACAUGUAGGGGACGUGAGGGAUAUACCAAAACACCUGAACUGUGCAAAUAGCUUGAACGGAAUAAAACCACCCUGUAUCCAAUAAAUGGAACGGGACAAAGUGACACUAUAUCCAAUUGAUUAAAUAAAUAUAGUAGCAUUUGAA
Patella vulgata (common limpet) is the source of this 543-nucleotide long non-coding RNA. RefSeq lists it as uncharacterized. The transcript has 3 exons. Lineage: Eukaryota; Metazoa; Mollusca; Gastropoda; Patellidae. The record is from RefSeq and is a predicted model, not a curated record.